This 253-nucleotide ribosomal RNA is filed under the name uncultured bacterium. Its description in RNAcentral is "partial 16S ribosomal RNA". It matches the Rfam family "Bacterial small subunit ribosomal RNA", at positions 524 to 776 of the family's 1533-position model. The record is from RNAcentral.
UACAGAGGUGGCGAGCGUUAUUCGGAAUUAUUGGGCGUAAAGAGCGCGCAGGCGGUCGAUUUAGUCGCGUGUGAAAGCCCCCGGCUCAACUGGGGAGGGUCACGCGAUACUGAUCGACUCGAAGGCAGGAGAGGGUAGUGGAAUUCCCGGUGUAGUGGUGAAAUGCGUAGAUAUCGGGAGGAACACCAGUGGCGAAGGCGACUACCUGGCCUGUUCUUGACGCUGAGGCGCGAAAGCUAGGGGAGCAAACGGG